This 229-nucleotide ribosomal RNA is filed under the name uncultured bacterium. Its description in RNAcentral is "partial 16S ribosomal RNA". It matches the Rfam family "Bacterial small subunit ribosomal RNA", at positions 91 to 334 of the family's 1533-position model. The record is from RNAcentral.
UACAGUGGCGACCGGGUGAGUAACACGUGACUAACCUGCCCUGAAGUGGGGAAUAACUCCGGGAAACCGGAGCUAAUACCGCAUAACACCGCAAGGUCAAAGCAGUAAUGCGCUUUGGGAGGGGGUCGCGGCUGAUUAGUUAGUUGGCAGGGUAAUGGCCUACCAAGACGAUGAUCAGUAUCCGGCCUGAGAGGGCGCACGGACACACUGGAACUGAAACACGGUCCAG